AGAGUUUGAUCCUGGCUCAGGAUGAACGCUAGCUACAGGCUUAACACAUGCAAGUCGAGGGGCAGCAUGGUCUUAGCUUGCUAAGACCGAUGGCGACCGGCGCACGGGUGAGUAACGCGUAUCCAACCUUCCCUAUAGUAGGGGAUAGCCCGGCGAAAGUCGGAUUAAUACGCUAUGUGGUGCAGUAUUGCCAUCAUGGCCGCACGAAAGAUUUAUCGCUGUGGGAUGGGGAUGCGUCUGAUUAGCUUGUCGGCGGGGUAACGGCCCACCGAGGCGACGAUCAGUAGGGGUUCUGAGAGGAAGGUCCCCCACAUUGGUACUGAGACACGGACCAAACUCCUACGGGAGGCAGCAGUGAGGAAUAUUGGUCAAUGGCCGGAAGGCUGAACCAGCCAAGUAGCGUGCAGGACGACGGCCCUACGGGUUGUAAACUGCUUUUAUAGGGGAAUAAAGUGUGGUACGUGUACCGUUUUGUAUGUACCCUAUGAAUAAGGACCGGCUAAUUCCGUGCCAGCAGCCGCGGUAAUACGGAAGGUCCGGGCGUUAUCCGGAUUUAUUGGGUUUAAAGGGAGCGCAGGCGGGACCUUAAGCGUGUUGUGAAAUGUACCGGCUCAACCGGUGAUGUGCAGCGCGAACUGGGGUUCUUGAGUGGGUACGACGUCGGCGGAAUUCGUGGUGUAGCGGUGAAAUGCUUAGAUAUCACGAGGAACCCCGAUUGCGAAGGCAGUCCGCGAGUCCUUUACUGACGCUAAAGCUCGAAGGUGCGGGUAUCGAACAGGAUUAGAUACCCUGGUAGUCCGCACGGUAAACGAUGGAUGCCCGCUGUAUGCGAUAGACAGUAUGCGGCCAAGCGAAAGCGUUAAGCAUCCCACCUGGGGAGUACGCCGGCAACGGUGAAACUCAAAGGAAUUGACGGGGGCCCGCACAAGCGGAGGAACAUGUGGUUUAAUUCGAUGAUACGCGAGGAACCUUACCCGGGCUUGAACUGCAGCUGAACGAUUCAGAGAUGAUGAGGCCCUUCGGGGCAGCUGUGGAGGUGCUGCAUGGUUGUCGUCAGCUCGUGCCGUGAGGUGUCGGCUUAAGUGCCAUAACGAGCGCAACCCCUGUCUUCAGUUGCCAUCAGGUGAAGCUGGGCACUCUGUAGAGACUGCCACCGUAAGGUGUGAGGAAGGCGGGGAUGACGUCAAAUCAGCACGGCCCUUACGUCCGGGGCUACACACGUGUUACAAUGGCCGGUACAGAGGGCAGCCACCUGGUGACAGGGAGCGAAUCUCGAAAGCCGGUCUCAGUUCGGAUCGGAGUCUGCAACUCGACUCCGUGAAGUUGGAUUCGCUAGUAAUCGCGCAUCAGCCAUGGCGCGGUGAAUACGUUCCCGGGCCGUGCACACACAGCCCGUCAAG
This 1400-nucleotide ribosomal RNA is filed under the name uncultured bacterium. Its description in RNAcentral is "bacterial SSU rRNA". It matches the Rfam family "Bacterial small subunit ribosomal RNA". The record is from RNAcentral.